Molecule: ribosomal RNA, 253 nt
Filed under: uncultured bacterium
Lineage: Bacteria
Description: partial 16S ribosomal RNA
Rfam family: Bacterial small subunit ribosomal RNA
Source: RNAcentral
UACGUAGGGGGCAAGCGUUAUCCGGAAUUACUGGGUGUAAAGGGAGCGUAGACGGUAAUGUAAGUCUGGAGUGAAAGGCGGGGGCCCAACCCCCGGACUGCUCUGGAAACUAUGUUACUAGAGUGCAGGAGAGGUAAGCGGAAUUCCUAGUGUAGCGGUGAAAUGCGUAGAUAUUAGGAGGAACACCAGUGGCGAAGGCGGCUUACUGGUCUGUAACUGACGCUGAGGUUCGAAAGCGUGGGUAGCAAACAGG